GUGAAUACUUGUCUUGCAAAUCUUGAGAAAGUCUUGUGUAGGUGCGUGGAAAAGAACUUGGUCCUCAAUUGGGAAAAGUGCCAUUUUAUGGUGACCCGUCGAAUUGUGUUGGGUCACAUCAUCUCAUCUUAAGGAAUUCAGGUUGACAAAGCCAAAAUUGAUGUCAUUGCCAAAUUACCAACUCCAAAAACGGUGAAAGACAUCCGAUCAUUCCUAGGCCAUGUCGGCUUUUAUAGGAGAUUCAUUCAAAAUUUUAGCCUUAUUACAAAGCCUAAUCUCCUAGCCAAGGAUGUUCAAUUUGAAUGGAGUGCUAAAUUUGAAGAAGCUUUUUUGUCAAACUCAAAUUGAAUGGAGUGUGUCGAGAUUAUUGAAGAUUUCUUGCGGUGUGAGGGUUACCUCUUUACCUGAUGGCUUGAUGCUGUUCAGGCUGCUGUCGGAGAUCGAGGCUAAAAGAGUGUUGAAGGAUGGGAAGAAAAGAUGGGGGGAGGCAAUUUUAUACAUCAAUCAUUGGUGCUUUAGGGUGGGUUGCUCAGGGCUGUGGAAAAAGUGUAAGAAAAGGAGAAUUCACAUUCUAGGGUUACCAUUGCAUCUUUGGUGUCGGAAAUUGUUUGAAGCUAUUGGUGAUCUUUGUGGAGGGUUCCGUGAUGUUGAGGCCUAUGAGUGGUGUGACACAAACAAAGUUGUUGUAGUCGCUGAUGGUGGUCAGAUUCCGGAGUUUGUCAUUGUCGAAGAUGAUUGGGUCGCCUUUAAGAUUGCUCUGAUGGAAGAGAUUGCCCCAUCCCUGGUGGUGAAGCCCGAAUCUCUGAUUGAGAGGGAUAAAAGCUUAUUGAUUUCAGAGGAGGAGUGGAUCCGUGGUAAUUGCGGUCGGCGUGGCUCCAGUACGGCGAAGAACAGUUACGUAGGUUCAAAGGCAGGACCGGCCGCCUUGGGGCCCAUAGGGGAUGGAAAAAAAAUAAAUUCAAAAUAAAGUUAGGGCAAGUCAGCCUGCUUCGACACUCCGCAGGGCGCAGCCUCACCUAUCGCCUUAGGUGACAAGGGCCUCUCAAAAUAUUUGGAAUCUCAGGGCUGGCCCUGCCCAUAUCUUUCAGUUUCCAUCGCUCGCUGCUCCAGUUCGGGUUCACCGUUCGCAAGCUUCAGCCGCUGGCCCGCUGUCUCUCAACUCUCUUGCCCCCCUUUCUCUCUGCAACUGCUAACUUGUAUGUAUGGGUUUUGUUUUAAAUUUUUUUCUAAAUCAACUAAUCAAGGUCUGUAAUUCUCGUUAGCAAUGGAUAUGGGCAAUCCGGUGCGCUUGAGUAAUAACCAGUGGGAAUAUCUUAAUCUGGAGGCUGUGGUGGGGGACGGGCAUGAGAUGGGUUAGGAGUCCACUCGUAUGCGAGCUUGGCAUAGGUCUUCCUCGACGAUCUGAGAACGCCGGCGAUGGAGUUAGUGACAAUCUUCAAAACUUUUUGUUGCGAUGAAGGUUAUUUGGUGGGAGGUGCUGGAUUUGUCCCCUUUGAGAGUUCAAGAUGCACUUGAUCUGUUUGGUGCUUCAUUUGUUACUCUGUUUCUCUUUUCAUCAAGAGGUUUUGACCUUCCUUUAGUUCUUUUGUCCUAAAGUUGUAAUCCGAAGGUAUGUCUUUGCUUAUUAUACCCAUGUACGUUAUUUGUUCAUAUCUAUAACAAUAAUGAUAAUAAAUUUUUUAAUUUUUUUUUUACAAUUGACCUUUACAAAAGAAUAGGAUUAAAGAAGAAUAAUUUUUGGUAUAGCCCAAUUAGAUGCAUGGUCAAGCUACAACCAGGUGUUUAGGU
RNA transcript from Cornus florida, 1788 nucleotides. RefSeq lists it as uncharacterized. Lineage: Eukaryota; Viridiplantae; Streptophyta; Magnoliopsida; Cornales; Cornaceae. The transcript has 3 exons. The record is from RefSeq and is a predicted model, not a curated record.